Long non-coding RNA from Pygocentrus nattereri (red-bellied piranha), 421 nucleotides. RefSeq lists it as uncharacterized. The record is from RefSeq and is a predicted model, not a curated record. Lineage: Eukaryota; Metazoa; Chordata; Actinopteri; Characiformes; Serrasalmidae. The transcript is spliced from 3 exons.
CAGUCCUUCUCUGGAACCAGCUUCAACACUUUCCCAAUGGCGAUGGUCUUCCCUGCAGGGAAAAACAACCACACUUCUCAGCACAACGAUGCAAAGUACAGCGCUGUCCACAGAAGGACUACUGCAGCCACCUAAAGGCUACCGCAAGCCGGACGAGAAGCUCCACACCAGCAGAUGAUCUCUCUUUGGUGCUGGGCAGCAAAAAAGCACAGAGCACAGAUACAGCACAAUGGUUUGUGUACUUCGUCCACCACCGCAAGUACCACAAGCUGAAAACCAUGGAUAUCUGAACACCAGAAAUGAAUGACUGCCCAGUUCUCAUCCUCCAGGACUUCACAGCAGUAACUCUUACCUGGGCGUCAAAGGUGCGUCCGGAGUGGCAGAGGCUUUCAGCGGUGCAGAGGAUGAAGCCUGGCAGGAU